RNAcentral lists this long non-coding RNA (496 nucleotides) under Phoenix dactylifera (date palm). RNAcentral's name for it is "long non-coding RNA (PDAC_LNC010902)". The record is from RNAcentral. Lineage: Eukaryota; Viridiplantae; Streptophyta; Magnoliopsida; Arecales; Arecaceae.
UCGGAUCUCGGCUGGGAGGAAGAUCUUUGGAAGAAUCCUUCGGCUAGGAAUAGGGGAGCUGGGACGUGAUCCACGGAUGGCCGAACGUGGGAUGCUUGGAUUGGUUUGAGUCAAUCUGGCAUGCCGGCUGGGAGUGGUUCCGAAACAGGGGAUUCCGUGGAGCUCGGGAUGCACUUGGGAUGUUGAUCCACUUCGUGGUGACGUGGAGAUAUAGAUGCUGGGAAGAGAAUGGAGUGAAGGAGGGGAGCUGGGAUGAAGACGGAAUGAAGAAGCUUUGGAUGCGGAACUGUGAACGACAUGCAAACGGGAUGGAGAUACGAUGGAAAGAUAAAAUCUGGGAGGAGACGUGGAAGGCAAUCGGGAUGAGUGUGGGAUGUUGGGAUCAAUCCGGAAGAAGUGGGUUUUGAUUUUAUCCCACGGGUUAUGCUACUUUAUUCCAGAACAGGGGAAGAAAAAUGAUGUGGAAUGAGCUUGGGAUUUGCUGGGAGAAAGUUGG